GGGGAUUUAGCUCAGUGGUAGAGCGCUUGCCUAGGAAGGGUAAGGCCCUGGGUUCGGUUCCCAGCUCCA
RNAcentral lists this transfer RNA (69 nucleotides) under Rattus norvegicus (Norway rat). It matches the Rfam family "tRNA". From Rfam's summary of the family: Transfer RNA (tRNA) molecules are approximately 80 nucleotides in length. Their secondary structure includes four short double-helical elements and three loops (D, anti-codon, and T loops). The record is from Rfam by way of RNAcentral. Lineage: Eukaryota; Metazoa; Chordata; Mammalia; Rodentia; Muridae.